Molecule: ribosomal RNA, 2004 nt
Filed under: Triticum aestivum (bread wheat)
Lineage: Eukaryota; Viridiplantae; Streptophyta; Magnoliopsida; Poales; Poaceae
Description: partial small subunit ribosomal RNA
Source: RNAcentral
AUGGCGGCACUCCCUACCGACCCCAUCAACCUGAUGGACCCCUACGCCACCGCCUCCACCUCCCCACGCCGCGACUGGGUCUUGCUCCACCCGUCGGCGCGUAUCUCCGACCUCCACAACGCAACCACCCUCGUGUCCAGGACGACGGACGGCCAGCCCGUCGUGGCGUCCUUCUGGCUCGUCGACCCGCCGGGCGUCUCCUACUUCUCCGUCCACUGCCCCGGCCUCAAAGUUUCAGAUCCGGACGACUUCGCCCACGACGAUCCCGACCCCGGCGUCAUCUGCGCCGACAUCGUCUGCGCGGAGGCAGCGUUCCUUCUCUUCGACGUGACCUUCAACGCCCCCGACGGCCCCUUCCCGGAGUCCACCCACCACUUCCUCUACAGAGCCGGCCCCGGGGAGCCAGCACUGCACCUGCUCCCGAACGAUAUUCCAGCAUACGAAACCCGGCCGCAAUUCGGCCUCUUGCCCUGCGGCGAGCAUUAUGUCGUGGCCUUCCUACGGUGGAACAGGACCAUGGGUGAUCAUAUGUUUGAUGUCCAUGUCUUCUCGUCCCAGACACAGGCAUGGAGUAAGAAGGUUGGGUUGCUGGCUAUAUCAGAGUCUGAUAAGAGAUAUUUUAGUCGGCAUGAUGCCUGCAGGCAGAUCAGGAUUGGACGCUCACUGGGCUGGGUUGAUCUCUUGCGUGGUAUUCUUCUACUUCGCAGACCGUUCGAUGAACAUCCUCUGAUCGAAUACAUCCUGUUUCCCGCGCCAAGUCCGCCUUGCUCCGAACUAUCAUACGACGACGACGAGCUAGGAGGAUCUGACGCUCCUCAAUAUUUUCGUGAUGUGGCCUGCUGCGAUGAUUUGAUCAAGUUUGUCAACGUAGAAUACCAUGACCCUUCCAGUUGCAGGCCUUGCUGUGGCAGAGAUAAAAGUUGGAAAGCCACCAUAUGGAACAGGAAGCUUUCUUCAGGAGAUUGGCGACGGGGAUUCACAGUUGAUGUUGCCGAUAUCUCCCUUGACCAAAGCUAUUCUUCUUUACUGCCGGAACUAUGGGACGACGAGACAGACAAGUUACACCUGAAGAAACUGAUUUUCUACACCCCCACCCUCAGCAUCUGCAAUGAUGAUCUUCUUUACGUCAUGUCCAAGGUGAAUGAUGAAGACGACAAGGCCUGGGUCAUCACAGUUGACAUGAAACAUGCGGUUGUGCAAGCAAUAGCCCCGUUUUCUGCUGGCGACAUCGACCUCCUCCCAAUGUACCGUCCAUGCUCCUUCCCCAAGUACCUCAACAUGACCCCAGGCGUAGAUAUAACCAACAAAGUGUACAAGUGCUUUACAAGGAUGGAUGUGGAGAAAUGUAUUGAGGAAUUUCUGUGGACUCGAGACUGGCUUAGGGAACUUUGUCAAUGCUUGGAACAUGAAAGGUCAAUUUACAUCAAUUGUAGCUCACUAGUCUGUCCAGUGUCAUCUCUACGUUUGAUUACUCCAAUAGUGGUAGAAUACGCUUCCUCUGUUGGUGAAGGCAAAGCUAAAGCUGCCACCGAAGCUGUGAAUGUUUGCUCACGAGCUUUGGAAGAUUUCAACUGGCUACUGUGGAAGCCGCGAAGUGAUGCAUCAACAUCUACUAAAGCCAUGAGGAGAAAAAUCAAUACCACCCUUAAAGCUUUAAAGAACGUCUUGCAAAUUGUGCCACAAUCAAUGAUGGCGGGAGGAACAACAGUGGAUGGAGCAACGACCCUUGCAGAUUCCUGCCACCAAAAGAGACGGAGACCAGUAUUUGAACGUCGUGAGGGACCAGGCCAUCAAAUUGAGUACAUAGAGCCUGGCUUUUCCGGUGCCAAUCUAUUCUGUGAUCGCUGUGAGAAGGCAGGCCAUGAGAAGGACCAAUGUGACGAUGAGCAUCAACUGCAACAGAACCUCCAUGGCUCUCUGGGUCCCUGGUUGAAGCCCCAAGAGGUUUGGCUCAUUUUGGCGAUUGCUUUUAGUGCACUAUUUCUGUAUGCUUGCGAUAUGUAA